CCUACGGGAGGCAGCAGUGAGGAAUAUUGGUCAAUGGACGAGAGUCUGAACCAGCCAAGUAGCGUGAAGGAUGACUGCCCUAUGGGUUGUAAACUUCUUUUAUAUGGGAAUAAAACGUUCCACGUGUGGGAUUUUGUAUGUACCAUAUGAAUAAGGAUCGGCUAACUCCGUGCCAGCAGCCGCGGUAAUACGGAGGUUCCGAGCGUUAUCCGGAUUUAUUGGGUUUAAAGGGAGCGUAGGUGGAUUGUUAAGUCAGUUGUGAAAGUUUGCGGCUCAACCGUAAAAUUGCAGUUGAAACUGGCAGUCUUGAGUACAGUAGAGGUGGGCGGAAUUCGUGGUGUAGCGGUGAAAUGCUUAGAUAUCACGAAGAACUCCGAUUGCGAAGGCAGUUCACUGGACUGCAACUGACACUGAGGCUCGAAAGUGUGGGUAUCAAACAGGAUUAGAUACCCCAGUAGUC
RNAcentral lists this ribosomal RNA (460 nucleotides) under uncultured bacterium. RNAcentral describes it as "partial 16S ribosomal RNA". It matches the Rfam family "Bacterial small subunit ribosomal RNA", at positions 338 to 795 of the family's 1533-position model. The record is from RNAcentral.